GAACGGGUGAGUAACACGUGGGCAAUCUGCCCUUCACUCUGGGACAAGCCCUGGAAACGGGGUCUAAUACCGGAUAAUACCUGCCCGGGCAUCUGGGUGGGUUAAAAGCUCCGGCGGUGAAGGAUGAGCCCGCGGCCUAUCAGCUUGUUGGUGAGGUAGUGGCUCACCAAGGCGACGACGGGUAGCCGGCCUGAGAGGGCGACCGGCCACACUGGGACUGAGACACGGCCCAGACUCCUACGGGAGGCAGCAGUGGGGAAUAUUGCACAAUGGGCGAAAGCCUGAUGCAGCGACGCCGCGUGAGGGAUGACGGCCUUCGGGUUGUAAACCUCUUUCAGCAGGGAAGAAGCGAAAGUGACGGUACCUGCAGAAGAAGCGCCGGCUAACUACGUGCCANCAGCCGCGGUAAUACGUAGGGCGCAAGCGUUGUCCGGAAUUAUUGGGCGUAAAGAGCUCGUAGGCGGCUUGUCACGUCNGGUGUGAAAGCCCGGGGCUUAACCCCGGGUCUGCAUUCGAUACGGGCUAGCUAGAGUGUGGUAGGGGAGAUCGGAAUUCCUGGUGUAGCGGUGAAAUGCNCAGAUAUCAGGAGGAACACCGGUGGCNAAGGCNGAUCUCUGGGCCAUUACUGACGCUGAGGAGCGAAA
This 644-nucleotide ribosomal RNA is filed under the name Streptomyces sp. 3212_2. RNAcentral describes it as "bacterial SSU rRNA". It matches the Rfam family "Bacterial small subunit ribosomal RNA", at positions 100 to 758 of the family's 1533-position model. The record is from RNAcentral. Lineage: Bacteria; Bacillati; Actinomycetota; Actinomycetes; Kitasatosporales; Streptomycetaceae.